RNAcentral lists this transfer RNA (65 nucleotides) under Diptera sp. 69 LC-2017. RNAcentral describes it as "tRNA-His". Lineage: Eukaryota; Metazoa; Arthropoda; Insecta; Diptera. The record is from RNAcentral.
AUUUAAAUAGUUUAAUUAAAAUUUUGAUUUGUGGAAUCAAUGAUAUAAAUAUUUUAUUUUAAAUA